Molecule: long non-coding RNA, 205 nt
Organism: Athene cunicularia (burrowing owl)
Lineage: Eukaryota; Metazoa; Chordata; Aves; Strigiformes; Strigidae
Exons: 3
Source: RefSeq, a predicted model, not a curated record
AGAUGGCGUUGUGGGCACGGAGGCCCCGCUGCCUUGUGGGUUUCCACCAAGGGCACCAAAAAUAAUCUGAUGUCAGAUGAUACUAGUGAUUCACCCUUCUACUAUCAGCAGUAUCCAAGAACAAGAGGCUUCAAAAAUAGCAACUGCAUCAAAAGUUUGCUUUGUUCCUGUAUUUGUGUUUUGCUCUGUGAUCCUUCCCAUACGA